RNAcentral lists this ribosomal RNA (599 nucleotides) under uncultured bacterium. Its description in RNAcentral is "bacterial SSU rRNA". It matches the Rfam family "Bacterial small subunit ribosomal RNA", at positions 750 to 1346 of the family's 1533-position model. The record is from RNAcentral.
GGUACGAAAGCGUGGGGAGCAAACAGGAAAGAUACCCUGGUAGUCCACGCCGUAAACGAUGUCUGUAGUUGUUCGAGUCAUUCCGACGUGAGUAACGCAGCUAACGCACUAAGUUGACCGCCUGGGGAGUACCGCCGCCAGGAUAAAACUCAAAUGAAUUGACGGGGGCCCGCACAAACGGUGGAGCAUGUGGUUUAAUUCCAUGCAACCCCAAAAAACUUACCAUCCCUUGACAUCCCUUGAAUUUUUCUAAAAUGAAUUAGUGCCUUCUGGAACACUGAAACGAGUGCUGCAUGGCUGUCGUCAGCUCCUGUUGUGAGAUGUUGGGUUAAGUCCCCCAACAACCGCAACCCUUAUCCUUAUUUGCCGCCACCUUUAGGUGGGAACUCUGGGGAGACUGGCGGUGAUCAACCGGAGGAAGGGGGGGACUAACUCCAGUCAUCCUGGCCCUUUAUGGAUGGGCUACACACGUGCUACAAUGGCACAUACCAAAGGCAUGAAGCAACCCAUGGUUAGCGAAUCUCAUAAGUGCGUUCGUAGUCUCGGAUCUGUAGUCUGCAACUCGACUCACGAUGAAGUCUGAAUCGCUAGUAAUCGUC